GACGAACGCUGGCGGCGUGCUUAACACAUGCAAGUCGAACGGAAAGGCCCUGCUUGCAGGGUACUCGAGUGGCGAACGGGUGAGUAACACGUGGGUGAUCUGCCCUGCACUUCGGGAUAAGCCUGGGAAACUGGGUCUAAUACCGGAUAGGAGCCAUUUUUAGUGUGAUGGUUGGAAAGUUUUUUCGGUGUAGGAUGAGCUCGCGGCCUAUCAGCUUGUUGGUGGGGUAAUGGCCUACCAAGGCGGCGACGGGUAGCCGGCCUGAGAGGGUGGACGGCCACAUUGGGACUGAGAGACGGCCCAGACUCCUACGGGAGGCAGCAGUGGGGAAUAUUGCACAAUGGGCGCAAGCCUGAUGCAGCGACGCCGCGUGGGGGAUGACGGCCUUCGGGUUGUAAACUCCUUUCGCUAGGGACGAAGCUUUUUGUGACGGUACCUAGAUAAGAAGCCCCGGCUAACUACGUG
RNAcentral lists this ribosomal RNA (465 nucleotides) under uncultured bacterium. RNAcentral describes it as "partial 16S ribosomal RNA". It matches the Rfam family "Bacterial small subunit ribosomal RNA", at positions 28 to 507 of the family's 1533-position model. The record is from RNAcentral.